AACGCACCUUGCGCUCCUUGGUAUUCCGAGGAGCAUGCCUGUUUGAGUGUCAUUAAAUUCUCAACCUCACCCAUUUUGUCAUGAAGUGUGUGUGUAGGCUUGGAUGUGGAGGCUUGCAGGUCCGGCUCUCUGAGUUGGUCUGCUCCUCUGAAAUGCAUUAGUAGGUUGUGCCCCUCAUCUAUUGGUGUGAUAAUUAUCUACGCCGUGGAUCAGUGUUGGCAACAAUGUGACCUGCUUCUAACCGUCCGACUCGGACAACUUGACAUUUUUGACCUCAAAUCAGGUAAGACUACCCGCUGAACUUAA
This 306-nucleotide unclassified non-coding RNA is filed under the name uncultured Agaricales. Its description in RNAcentral is "sequence contains ITS2". The stretch from base 1 to 52 matches the Rfam family "5.8S ribosomal RNA", at positions 103 to 154 of the family's 154-position model. The record is from RNAcentral. Lineage: Eukaryota; Fungi; Basidiomycota; Agaricomycetes; Agaricales.